This is a long non-coding RNA of Lotus japonicus, 1278 nucleotides long. RefSeq lists it as uncharacterized. The record is from RefSeq and is a predicted model, not a curated record. The transcript has 5 exons. NCBI's taxonomy places the organism in Eukaryota, Viridiplantae, Streptophyta, Magnoliopsida, Fabales, Fabaceae.
CAAAAAAAAGCUAUAUUAUGUGAAUUGGUUAUGCCAUCCCUAUAUAUAUGUGACACAAAAGAUCUUAGGGUGAAAUUCAUUUCCACGGAUGGACGAGGGAGUAGCUUCGCAAAUCCUCAAAAACAAGAAAAAGAAGAAGAAUCUCUAUAUCUUACCGACAUCACAGCAAAAGUUGAUAAUCUAAGAAUAAAUAAUUCUCAUAAAUCCAAGCCUAGAAUUGUGAGUAGCGUUGCAAAGAAAUCCAAGCCUCGUAUAAUUGUGAGUAGCCCUGCAAGGAAAUCCAAGUCCAAAGUCUUCGAAAACCACAAGAAACUCUUCUGAAUCUGGAGCAGCAGUCGGAGGCUCCCACAAGAAACCAAGCUCCAUUUCUUGCUCAGUUCAAUUACAUCACACCGAGAUUUGAUAAUCUAAGCAUAAAUAAUUCUGAUGAAUCUUCAUUUCCAUUUCCUGCUAAGUUCAACAACAUUGCAACACUAUUCGAUUUUGAUGAGUCCUGGAGAUCGCCCUGGAGAUUUCUUCGCAAACAAGCAGCGAAACAAAUUAAACUUGAGAAUCUAAAACAAAAGAUACUCUGGGGCAUUCCUCGCCUUGCUGUGAUUACAUGCUAUGCUUUCCAAAUAUACUUGGAUGUUGAGAUUGUUCCUAAUGAUUCUAAGGCAAAAACAAUAUUGCAGUCAUUCGCCGAUAAUGGGAUUACUGGAAAAUCGAUCGCUGAAGCACUUGUGAAAGACGCAGAACAAGUAUCUUUUUGUCCAAUGUCCAAACUUGGAUAACUAAAAAGCUCAACUUGUUUAUCAUGUUAACAAAUCACCUUAAAUCAAAAUUUACAACAUUUAGUUAUUAUGGUGGUAACUAAUGUAAUAUGUAUUAUCAUGUAAUGGGUAGCUUGAAGAGAUGCCUUCUACAAGACUUUUUUUAUAUGACUAGCAUAAACGUUCAUGAAAUUUUGUUACAAUCAAUCAGGAUUAAGUUCAUAACUGCUUAGUGUGUGUUUGGAUAUUAGUUUCAUGCAACAUAAACUUUCAUGUCAAUUCAUAAGUAUAGUUCUAUUCUCUUUUUGUCUCCAUGUGUCAAUCCAAUGUUAACUUAUGUCUGUUUUGUACUAGUGACAACGGGAUUCAAACAUAGCCAUAGCUUUUCUUUAAGUUCAUCUUUAAAUUGGGAUAGCUCUUACUAAAACACCAAAUGGAGCAAGCCUUAGGCAAUACCCUCUAGGACUGAUUGUGUUGUCCUCGAGCUUUUAUUUUGAAUUUGUUGAUGAAAUUUUGUAAUCUGUAC